GCUGACUGUGUAACUCCUAGUUGAGUGUGAAGACCUGAGGUAUCAGGGGUAGGGGUUGCUCUGCUUGUGUAAGUCCCAUAGUGUGAAGGCCAGAGAACCAAGAGAUGGUCAAGAAGAGAGAGUAAGUGUCCAAUGUCCCAGCUCAAGAAGAGAGAGAGCAUCACGACCUGUGCAGACUCCCCAGCAUCAUAACAGGAAGGUCCCACGAUCACGAGCACAUUGCCUUCAGCAUCCAGCACUGAAUAUGGUGAAUUGCACUCUGAAGAGCUUCCUAAGCUUGUAAGAAAGUGAUUCUGAAAAGCUCAACAUUUUGGUAGAAUGGAGAGAUUUGACAUUGCUUCUGCUCCAAAAGCAAAAGACUUGGCCCAGAAGCUAAAAAUCACCUGCCAUCUUGGAAAUAAUCCCUGGAGGAUCAAGUCCAAGGGGGAGAAGUGGACUGGUCACCCCAGCCGAGGUUAUCUAAGUUCCAUGGCUUACUCCAGACAGGAAGCCCCACAUCCUGCAGCCUCAUUCAUAAUCCAUAAUAGAUGGUGUUCUUGGAUCCCAAGUUGAGAAAAGAAGUUAACUAUGCACAUUUUGGCAAAGAUGCAGACCAGGGUUUGAUCUAAGCAGCUAUCACAUAAAAUAAUAAAGUACAAAUGGAAAUGGCAAAAAUGUGCCCAUAUCACAGUGCAGAGUGUGCCAAAGCUGACCGAAAAAUUAUGCAUUUUUCAUGUUUCAAUAAACGUACUUAACUGGCAUUUUGUGGGACACUGCUGGGUGACAGCCCACGGCAUCAGAGCUGGCAAGGAGCCCAC
RNAcentral lists this long non-coding RNA (797 nucleotides) under Homo sapiens (human). Its description in RNAcentral is "HSALNT0382791". The record is from RNAcentral. Lineage: Eukaryota; Metazoa; Chordata; Mammalia; Primates; Hominidae.